This 932-nucleotide ribosomal RNA is filed under the name Rusavskia sorediata. RNAcentral's name for it is "partial large subunit ribosomal RNA". It matches the Rfam family "Eukaryotic large subunit ribosomal RNA", at positions 1 to 975 of the family's 3401-position model. Lineage: Eukaryota; Fungi; Ascomycota; Lecanoromycetes; Teloschistales; Teloschistaceae. The record is from RNAcentral.
GACCUCGGAUCAGGUAGGGAUACCCGCUGAACUUAAGCAUAUCAAUAAGCGGAGGAAAAGAAACCAACAGGGAUUGCCUCAGUAACGGCGAGUGAAGCGGCAACAGCUCAAAUUUGAAAUCUGGCCCUUCCGGGGUCCGAGUUGUAAUUUGUAGAGGGUGUUUCGGGCGACGCGCCGGUCUAAGUCCUUGGAACGGGGCGUCAUAGAGGGUGAGAAUCCCGUAUGCGACCGGCGGGUGUGUGAACCCUUCGACGAGUCGAGUUGUUUGGGAAUGCAGCUCGGGUGGUAAAUUUCAUCUAAAGCUAAAUCCGAUAGCGCACAAGUAGAGUGAUCGAAAGAUGAAAAGCACUUUGGAAAGAGAGUCAAAAAGUACGUGAAAUUGUUGAAAGGGAAGCGCUUGCAACCAGACCUGCCCGCGGGUGAUCAGCCGUCCUUCUGGGCGGUGCACUCGCCCGCGAUCAGGCCAGCAUCGGUUCGGGCGGUCGGAUAAAGGCCCUGGGAACGUGGCUCCCCUCGGGGAGUGUUAUAGCCCUCGGUGCAAUGCGGCCCGCCCGGACCGAGGACCGCGCUUCGGCUAGGAUGCUGGCGUAAUGGUUGUAAGCGGCCCGUCUUGAAACACGGACCAAGGAGUCGACCAACUAUGCGAGUGUUUGGGUGUCAAACCCACACGCGCAAUGAAAGUGAACGGAGGUGGGAACCCCUCGCGGGGCGCACCAUCGACCGAUCCAGAUGUCUUCGGAUGGAUUUGAGUACGAGCAUAGCUGGUCGGACCCGAAAGAUGGUGAACUAUGCCUGAAUAGGGUGAAGCCAGAGGAAACUCUGGUGGAGGCUCGCAGCGGUUCUGACGUGCAAAUCGAUCGUCAAAUUUGGGCAUAGGGGCGAAAGACUAAUCGAACCAUCUAGUAGCUGGUUCCAGCCGAAGUUUCCCCUCA